This 710-nucleotide small RNA is filed under the name Pan troglodytes (chimpanzee). RNAcentral's name for it is "processed transcript". The record is from RNAcentral. Lineage: Eukaryota; Metazoa; Chordata; Mammalia; Primates; Hominidae.
CGCGCCUCAGGCGUCUCCUCCUCCUCCCUCCUUCCCCCUCCUCUCUCCUCCCCUCCUCCCGCGCGCCCCGCUUUGUGUCCGUGGUCUCCCGCGCGGGACGGAGGGACUGGCCGGAGCUGGCGCUUUCUCAGCACUAGAUCUGGACUCCGACCCGGCGCCAGAAUACAGUCGCUUUGAAUCGAAGAUACAUGACUUACGAGAACAAAUGAUGAACAGCAGCAUGAGCUCUGGGUCUGGGUCCCUCCGAACAAGUGAAAAGAGGUCCUUGUAUGUCAGGGCCCUGUUUGAUUAUGAUCGGACUCGGGACAGCUGCCUGCCAAGCCAGGGGCUCAGCUUCUCUUAUGGUGACAUUCUGCAUGUCAUUAAUGCCUCUGAUGAUGAGUGGUGGCAGGCAAGGCUGGUGACCCCACACGGAGAAAGUGAGCAGAUCGGUGUGAUCCCCAGUAAGAAGAGGGUGGAAAAGAAAGAAAGAGCUCGAUUGAAAACUGUGAAGUUCCAUGCCAGGACGGGGAUGAUUGAGUCUAACAGGUCGAUCAAAACGAAACGUAAAAAGAGUUUCCGCCUCUCUCGAAAGUUUCCAUUUUACAAGAGCAAAGAAAACAUGGCCCAGGAGAGCAGCAUACAGGAACAGGGAGUGACAUCCAACACCAGUGACAGCGAAAGCAGUUCCAAAGGACAAGAGGAUGCUAUUUUGUCAUAUGAGCCAGUGA